Molecule: non-coding RNA, 73 nt
Organism: Salmo salar (Atlantic salmon)
Lineage: Eukaryota; Metazoa; Chordata; Actinopteri; Salmoniformes; Salmonidae
Source: Rfam
GUCCGUGUGGCUCUGUUGGUAGAGCAUGGUGUUUGCAAUGCCAGGGUUGUGGGUUCGAUUCCCACGGGGGACC